CGCUUAUGUUACUAUUAUAAAAAUUAUAAAUAAUUCUCUUAUUGAUUUACCAUCUCCAUCUAAUAUUUCAUCAUGAUGAAAUUUUGGAUCUAUUCUAGCUUUAUGUUUAAUUACCCAAAUUAUUCUAAAAGU
Molecule: long non-coding RNA, 132 nt
Organism: Melitaea cinxia (Glanville fritillary)
Lineage: Eukaryota; Metazoa; Arthropoda; Insecta; Lepidoptera; Nymphalidae
Exons: 3
Source: RefSeq, a predicted model, not a curated record